RNAcentral lists this ribosomal RNA (468 nucleotides) under uncultured bacterium. RNAcentral's name for it is "partial 16S ribosomal RNA". It matches the Rfam family "Bacterial small subunit ribosomal RNA", at positions 28 to 507 of the family's 1533-position model. The record is from RNAcentral.
GACGAACGCUGGCGGCGUGCUUAACACAUGCAAGUCGAACGGAAAGGCCCUGCUUUUGUGGGGUGCUCGAGUGGCGAACGGGUGAGUAACACGUGAGUAACCUGCCCUUGACUUUGGGAUAACUUCAGGAAACUGGGGCUAAUACCGGAUAGGAGCUCCUGCUGCAUGGUGGGGGUUGGAAAGUUUCGGCGGUUGCGGAUGGACUCGCGGCUUAUCAGCUUGUUGGUGGGGUAGUGGCUUACCAAGGCUUUGACGGGUAGCCGGCCUGAGAGGGUGACCGGCCACAUUGGGACUGAGAUACGGCCCAGACUCCUACGGGAGGCAGCAGUGGGGAAUAUUGCACAAUAGGCGGAAGCCUGAUGCAGCAACGCCGCGUGCGGGAUGACGGCCUUCGGGUUGUAAACCGCUUUCGCCUGUGACGAAGCGUGAGUGACGGUAAUGGGUAAAGAAGCACCGGCUAACUACGUG